AGGAUGAUGAUGUUUAUUGAGUGGACGUCGUUGUGUACUAUAUCAGUUGGUUGUCCUCUUAAUCAAGGAGUGUGGUGAUACUAGUAUGGCAAACAGGUGAGAUGCAGGAGUACAUUAUCACGGAACAAGUGACUCACUUGUUGAGCAUUCUGCUAUCAAGAAUUGCUCAUUAAGCACAUGGGUAAAAGUAUCCUUCAUACCUG
This 203-nucleotide long non-coding RNA is filed under the name Elaeis guineensis (African oil palm). RNAcentral's name for it is "long non-coding RNA (EGUI_LNC043931)". The record is from RNAcentral. Lineage: Eukaryota; Viridiplantae; Streptophyta; Magnoliopsida; Arecales; Arecaceae.